UUAUCUGAACAGAGCAAAAUGGUUGGAGAUGUAUGGAGUCGAUAAUCAUUAUGUUAUGGGUAAAGAUGGUAAUACAUAUUCCUUGGGCUUAACACCAACAGGAAUACUAGUCUUUGAAGGAAAUACAAAAAUUGGACUGUUCUUUUGGCCAAAAAUCACCAAACUGAAUUUUAAAAACAAGAGGUUGACUUUAAUAGUUGUGGAGGAUGACGAAGAGGUAAAAG
This is a long non-coding RNA of Centruroides sculpturatus (bark scorpion), 224 nucleotides long. RefSeq lists it as uncharacterized. Lineage: Eukaryota; Metazoa; Arthropoda; Arachnida; Scorpiones; Buthidae. The transcript has 2 exons. The record is from RefSeq and is a predicted model, not a curated record.